AGAUUGAACGCUGGCGGCAUGCCUAACACAUGCAAGUCGAACGGCAGCGCGGGGGCAACCCUGGCGGCGAGUGGCGGACGGGUGAGGAAUACAUAGGAAUCUACCCUGUCGUGGGGGAUAACGUAGGGAAACUUACGCUAAUACCGCAUACGACCGAGAGGUGAAAGCGGCGGACCGCAAGGUGUCGCGCGGCUGGAUGAGCCUAUGUCCGAUUAGCUAGUUGGCGGGGUAANAGCCCACCAAGGCGACGAUCGGUAGCUGGUCUGAGAGGAUGAUCAGCCACACUGGGACUGAGACACGGCCCAGACUCCUACGGGAGGCAGCAGUGGGGGAAUAUUGGGACAAUGGGCGAAUGCCUGAUCCAGCCAUGCCGCGUGAGUGAUG
Molecule: ribosomal RNA, 384 nt
Filed under: uncultured soil bacterium
Lineage: Bacteria
Description: bacterial SSU rRNA
Rfam family: Bacterial small subunit ribosomal RNA
Source: RNAcentral